AGUGAACGCUGGCGGUAGGCCUAACACAUGCAAGUCGAACGGCAGCACAGUAAGAGCUUGCUCUUACGGGUGGCGAGUGGCGGACGGGUGAGGAAUACAUCGGAAUCUACUUUUUCGUGGGGGAUAACGUAGGGAAACUUACGCUAAUACCGCAUACGACCUACGGGUGAAAGCAGGGGAUCUUCGGACCUUGCGCGAUUGAAUGAGCCGAUGUCGGAUUAGCUAGUUGGCGGGGUAAAGGCCCACCAAGGCGACGAUCCGUAGCUGGUCUGAGAGGAUGAGCAGCCAAACUGGAACUGAGACACGGUCCAGACUCCUACGGGAGGCAGCAGUGGGGAAUAUUGGACAAUGGGCGCAAGCCUGAUCCAGCCAUACCGCGUGGGUGAAGAAGGCCUUCGGGUUGUAAAGCCCUUUUGUUGGGGAAGAAAAGCAGCAGGUUAAUACCCCGCUGUUCUGACGGUACCCAAAGAAUAAGCACCGGCUAACUUCGUG
Molecule: ribosomal RNA, 492 nt
Filed under: uncultured bacterium
Lineage: Bacteria
Description: partial 16S ribosomal RNA
Rfam family: Bacterial small subunit ribosomal RNA
Source: RNAcentral